Molecule: ribosomal RNA, 253 nt
Filed under: uncultured bacterium
Lineage: Bacteria
Description: partial 16S ribosomal RNA
Rfam family: Bacterial small subunit ribosomal RNA
Source: RNAcentral
UACAGAGGUCUCAAGCGUUGUUCGGAUUCAUUGGGCGUAAAGGGUGCGUAGGUGGCGUCGUAAGUCAGGUGUGAAAUCUCGGGGCUUAACUCCGAAACUGCAUUCGAUACUGCGGUGCUUGAGGACUGGAGAGGAGACUGGAAUUCAUGGUGUAGCAGUGAAAUGCGUAGAGAUCAUGAGGAAGACCAGUGGCGAAGGCGGGUCUCUGGACAGUUCCUGACACUGAGGCACGAAGGCCAGGGGAGCAAACGGG